GAAAUGUGGCUUGGUGUUGAGCUGGAUGAGAGUACAAGGAUCUUCUGAAAAAUUUCAAGGAGGAUAUAAAUGCUAUAGAAAUGGAGGAAGGCAAAAGAGACUUGAUAUCCUGAGAGAUCAGCAAAUUCAGUGACACACACAAGAUAUUUGUGGCAAGUUCUCCUGCCCUGUUUCUCAUUUCAAGAUGUUACCAAGAUGUGGUCCUUAUUUUUGAUGAAGAUGAAGAGACAAUGUUUUCCUACAUAUCUCUGACUGGGAUCAAAUUCACUGUUCUCCUAAACACAAAUAAUAUCAAUCCCUCCCUUUAGCCUCCAUCCAAGUUAUUCCUCUUCAUUCUUAUUCUCAUUUCCACAUCUCUGCUCCCAGUUUUGGUAUUACAACCUUGUAUACCAAAACAUCUGAACGGCACUUCCAGGAAACAUGCCAGGUUUUCUCAACCUUAUCUCUCCACAUCUCCAAAUCUCACCCUCUCUCCGUCCCUCCUCACACUGCCAUUCUUCUUUCCCCUGAAACCUCUCCUUCUUCCUUUUAAUGUCUCUCCCCUCUUUUAAUUUUCCUUCUUCCUCUCUCGUUUGCACAUCUAUAGUAGAGGCAGAAGAACCUCAUUCCCAAUAUCUCCAGUUCCCAACAUUGGGAUUACAAGAAAGUGCCCAGAAAUGAACAAGUACCAAUCCUACUACUUUGCCAGGGUC
This is a long non-coding RNA of Mesocricetus auratus (golden hamster), 692 nucleotides long. RefSeq lists it as uncharacterized. The record is from RefSeq and is a predicted model, not a curated record. NCBI's taxonomy places the organism in Eukaryota, Metazoa, Chordata, Mammalia, Rodentia, Cricetidae. The transcript has 3 exons.